Passer montanus (Eurasian tree sparrow) is the source of this 1194-nucleotide long non-coding RNA. RefSeq lists it as uncharacterized. The record is from RefSeq and is a predicted model, not a curated record. The transcript is spliced from 3 exons. Lineage: Eukaryota; Metazoa; Chordata; Aves; Passeriformes; Passeridae.
ACCAAGUUUGGUUUUUGUUGCAAUUACAGAAAUUUUGAGAUGUGUUAUAGAUCUUGGUGUCUCAUAAACACUUGAAUGUGUUCCAGACUUCUCUGUUAAAUUUACCAGAAGUCUGCCUUUCCCCCUGGCUGAGCUAAUUGGUCAGUAAGACAUGCUACCAAAGCAGUGCAGGACACAAUGUUUAGACCUGCUUUUCUGUCUUUAGAUUGGACUGGUUUAGAUGAAGAUGAAGAUGCACAUGUCUGGGAAGACAACUGGGAUGAUGACAAUGUAGAAGAUGAUUUCUCCAAUCAGUUAAGAGCUGAAUUAGAAAAACAUGGAUACAAGAUGGAAACGUCAUAGCUUUUGCAGAAUAUGGAGUGGUUUAACACUGAACUGUGGAUAGACUUUAUUGAGAAAAGAAGAUGGAAAAUGAGAAAACACACUUAGUUCAUUAUCUGCUUGGAUUUAUUAUUGUUUUGUAUAAAAAAUAAAGUUUUUAAUCUUAGCCUGGUCAUACAUUUAGCCUCUACUCACCUGGUCCGUUGUAUUUUGGUUCUGAAGUGUCUUGUGUGGCGGAAUUCACGGACCUGCCUGGAAUGCCACUAGUGGUCUGUCAGUAGCUGAUGCUCUUGCACUGGCUGCUGUCCUGGGGGGCUAAACAUGUGUAACCAGAAUGAAGACUAAUGAAUAUUGCUGUCACAGGAAAUAAAAUACUUGUGUAUUCCAAUUAAAAUGCAGCAGAGAUUGAAAGCAGUAUUAGGGAGUGAUAAAACUUGUUUUGCCUCAGUAUUUUAUUUCAUAAUGACUUGGCGUUUUUUUUUUAGUAAUUUCAUGUGAGUGCUGGUUUAAUAAAACAGAGUUCAAAGUGUCUUGCAACAGCAGAAAUCCAAACUCUCCAAUCUUGUCCUGUCAUUUCUCAGGACUGUUAAAGAUGAGACUUCUCUGGAGGUGAAAGUUCUGUUCUUGCACUUACUUAAGCCUAGGAAUCUCUGCUGAAAUUGCCUCCAAUUUGCCAGUUACAGCAGUUCAUCUGUAUCACGCAAACAUGCCUGUGGAGAACAGAAAUCAAACUUCCAACUCAUUUCAUGGAGGCUAGCAAAGAUUUGCCAGAAAGAUAGCGCGGUAGUGACUGGAUUCAAUUACUCUCUGAACUGGAAAACAGAAAGUGGGAAUUACCACACCUAUUACCACUUCCAUGAACGCUCCCCAAAG